CCUUUUACCUGGCAGGAAAGGCUAGCUAUGAUCCUAAGGUAGUUUCCCAGAGUGAGGCUGCUCAUUGUACUCGUACUCAGCUGACCUCUGCGAUUUCUCUCUAAAAUGUGGGAAAUCUCUACUGCAUAAUUUAUGGUAGUGGGGGGACUGCGUUCGCGCUUUCCCCUG
Pelobates cultripes (western spadefoot toad) is the source of this 168-nucleotide non-coding RNA. NCBI's taxonomy places the organism in Eukaryota, Metazoa, Chordata, Amphibia, Anura, Pelobatidae. The record is from the annotation of a GenBank genome assembly.